AAAUUGAAGAGUUUGAUCAUGGCUCAGAUUGAACGCUGGCGGCAGGCCUAACACAUGCAAGUCGAACGGUAACAGGAAACAGCUUGCUGUUUCGCUGACGAGUGGCGGACGGGUGAGUAAUGUCUGGGAAACUGCCCGAUGGAGGGGGAUAACUACUGGAAACGGUAGCUAAUACCGCAUAACGUCGCAAGACCAAAGAGGGGGACCUUCGGGCCUCUUGCUAUCGGAUGUGCCCAGAUGGGAUUAGCUAGUAGGUGGGGUAACGGCUCACCUAGGCGACGAUCCCUAGCUGGUCUGAGAGGAUGACCAGCCACACUGGAACUGAGACACGGUCCAGACUCCUACGGGAGGCAGCAGUGGGGAAUAUUGCACAAUGGGCGCAAGCCUGAUGCAGCCAUGCCGCGUGUAUGAAGAAGGCCUUCGGGUUGUAAAGUACUUUCAGCGGGGAGGAAAGGAGUAAAGUUAAUACCUUUGCUCAUUGACGUUACCCGCAGAAGAAGCACCGGCUAACUCCGUGCCAGCAGCCGCGGUAAUACGGAGGGUGCAAGCGUUAAUCGGAAUUACUGGGCGUAAAGCGCACGCAGGCGGUUUGUUAAGUCAGAUGUGAAAUCCCCGGGCUCAACCUGGGAACUGCAUCUGAUACUGGCAAGCUUGAGUCUCGUAGAGGGGGGUAGAAUUCCAGGUGUAGCGGUGAAAUGCG
This 700-nucleotide ribosomal RNA is filed under the name Shigella flexneri. Its description in RNAcentral is "bacterial SSU rRNA". It matches the Rfam family "Bacterial small subunit ribosomal RNA", at positions 1 to 690 of the family's 1533-position model. Lineage: Bacteria; Pseudomonadati; Pseudomonadota; Gammaproteobacteria; Enterobacterales; Enterobacteriaceae. The record is from RNAcentral.